RNAcentral lists this ribosomal RNA (496 nucleotides) under uncultured bacterium. Its description in RNAcentral is "partial 16S ribosomal RNA". It matches the Rfam family "Bacterial small subunit ribosomal RNA", at positions 28 to 506 of the family's 1533-position model. The record is from RNAcentral.
GAUGAACGCUGGCGGCGUGCCUAAUACAUGCAAGUCGAGCGAACAGACGAGGAGCUUGCUCCUCUGACGUUAGCGGCGGACGGGUGAGUAACACGUGGAUAACCUACCUAUAAGACUGGGAUAACUUCGGGAAACCGGAGCUAAUACCGGAUAAUAUAUUGAACCGCAUGGUUCAAUAGUGAAAGACGGUUUUGCUGUCACUUAUAGAUGGAUCCGCGCCGCAUUAGCUAGUUGGUAAGGUAACGGCUUACCAAGGCGACGAUGCGUAGCCGACCUGAGAGGGGGAUCGGCCAAACUGGAACUGGGACACGGCCCAGCCCCCUACGGGGGGCAGAAGUAGGGAAUCUUCCGCAAUGGGCGAAAGCCUGACGGAGAAACGCCGGGGGAGUGAUGAAGGUCUUCGGAUCGUAAAACUCUUUUUUUGGGGAAAAAAAAAUGUGAAAGUAACUAUGCACGUUUGGACGGUCCCUAAUCAGAAAGCCACGGCUAACUACGU